RNAcentral lists this long non-coding RNA (1133 nucleotides) under Anser brachyrhynchus (Pink-footed goose). Its description in RNAcentral is "lncRNA (ENSABRG00000019400.1)". The record is from RNAcentral. Lineage: Eukaryota; Metazoa; Chordata; Aves; Anseriformes; Anatidae.
GCCAAUCAUAGGGAAUCCAUCUCUCCUUGUUUUGACUAGCUCUUCUCUCUGCUACAGUCUGGCUGAAUACCCUGCUCUGCAAGAGGUGGGCAAUGACAUCGGCCCAGGCGUCAUGAGUGUUAUAAAACAGAAUUAACUUCAGGCAUGCCAGUACUUUCACUGAAUGAAAAGGAGCACUGGCAAGUUUACAGAAAAGCAUGUGUGUAAAUGUUUUCCUGAAUCAGAAAAUGUUGCACAGAGGCAGAAUUUUUUUUUUACCCUGUUUGUUUCAGUGGGAGAAACAUGUAUGGACAAAAUUCCUUUAUUACAGAUAUUUGGGCAAGCAUGGUAUUUAGCCUAAGAUCUGUUGUCUCUUUUCCUCUCUCCAAUUUUAUUGUCAGCAGAUCCUUUUGCAAACUAGAAAAAAAAAAGUCUGUGUGCAGGUAGGUUUUGAUAACACGCGUGUGCCAGAGGCUGCUUUCACUCACCCACUGUUUGUUUGUUUUUAAUUUAGCAAAGCAGCUACACCUCUAACCAUGCAAAACAAAGAUUAAAAUAAUAUGAAUCAGAGGCACGAGAGGUAUUUACUUAGAUAGGGCAGGGGUUACUGGAGGGGGGAGAUGGCAAGCCAGGGGAGAAUGGCCACCCAGUGUUGGCAGCAGCGUGCCAAUCCAGAUCCUUCUGCAGGCCUCACAGCCCUAAGCGCCUUCUUCCCCAUUGCCUGCGAGGUGCCAGCAUGUGGCGGGCCCCUGCCUGGCUGGCCCUACCACCUCAAUACCAGUGCCACAUGGUUGGGUGGGCAGGGGCCCAGGAUUGCUGGGAUGCACUCCUCCAGCCUUCCUGUCAUUCCCUGGCCUUCCCUGGCCUCCUCAGCCUCCCCUAGCCUUUCGUGUCCUCCCUUAGCCUCCAUGGCCCUCCUCGGCCUCCCCUGGCCUUCCCCAGCAACAGCCAUGGCGGCAGCCAAUGGGGCCGGGCCGGGUCAGGGCGGCGGCGGCGGCGCAGGCCUUUGUGCAGGGUGGCAGGCGCAAGUAUUUGCGGCAGCAAGGACAACAGAAAACGGGAAAAAAAGAAGAAAAAAAAAAACUGUGUACAAAAGUGACUAGCCCUCACAUACACUAAAAUCAUUAAUAAAUACAAAUCUAUACCAGUCUCCA